CGUCUAUAUACGUAUAGCAUAUCAAUAAGCGGAGGAAAAGAAACUAACUAGGAUUCCCUCAGUAACGGCGAGUGAAGCGGGAAGAGCUCAAAUUUGAAAUCUUCAAGGUUUUACCUUGACGAAUUGUAGUUUAAAGAAGUGUUUUCUGUUGGAAUUUUGGUAAAAGUUCUUUGGAAAAAGACAUCAAAGAGGGUGAGAAUCCCGUAUUUGACCAUUAUUUCCAGCUUUGUGAUACACUUUCGAAAGAGUCGGAUUGUUUGGGAAUGCAGUCCAAAAUGGGUGGUAAAUUUCAUCUAAAGCUAAAUACUGGCGAGAGACCGAUAGCGAACAAGUACCGUGAGGGAAAGAUGAAAAGAACUUUGAAAAGAGAGUUAAACAGUACGUGAAAUUGUCAAAAGGGAAGCGUUUGACACCAGUGUUGUUUUCUCGAAAAUCAAUUAAAAAGAUGUGGGAUUUUGUGUUGUAUUGACUUUAUCAGCUUUCUGCACUUUUUUCCUAUCUUCUUUAAUGCACUUUUCGUUUAACAAGUCAACAUCAAUUUCUUUUGUUGUAAAAGAGUCAUUGGAAGGUGGCUUUCUUUUCGGAGAAAGUGUUUAUAGCCUUUGGACUUCUGCAAUCGGAGAGAUUGAGGUCUGCAGCGUAGAUCCUUCGGGGUUAGAUACAUUUGUGCUAAGCUAUAGCCUUUCAUAGACAACUUGUUGACUAUGAUCAGUCAUGUAGCUUACUCGCUUAUGUCAUUUUACCUACGCUUAGGAUGUUGACGAUCAGCUGAGCGCG
This 777-nucleotide ribosomal RNA is filed under the name uncultured Neocallimastigales. RNAcentral describes it as "partial large subunit ribosomal RNA". It matches the Rfam family "Eukaryotic large subunit ribosomal RNA", at positions 26 to 628 of the family's 3401-position model. The record is from RNAcentral. Lineage: Eukaryota; Fungi; Neocallimastigomycota; Neocallimastigomycetes; Neocallimastigales.